Molecule: ribosomal RNA, 120 nt
Organism: Ophiocordyceps sinensis CO18
Lineage: Eukaryota; Fungi; Ascomycota; Sordariomycetes; Hypocreales; Ophiocordycipitaceae
Source: Rfam
ACAUACGGCCAUAGUAUCGUAAAUAAUAUCCAUCCCGUCCGAUCUGGCACAUAUAAGCACGAUAACGGCAGAUUAGUAGUUGGGUCGGUGACGACCAGCGAACACCGGCUGCUGUAUGUU